UACGUAGGGUGCGAGCGUUAAUCGGAAUUACUGGGCGUAAAGCGUGCGCAGGCGGUUUUGUAAGGCAGAUGUGAAAUCCCCGGGCUUAACCUGGGAACUGCGUUUGAAACUACAAGGCUAGAGUGUGGCAGAGGGGGGUGGAAUUCCACGUGUAGCAGUGAAAUGCGUAGAGAUGUGGAGGAACACCGAUGGCGAAGGCAGCCCCCUGGGUUAACACUGACGCUCAGGCACGAAAGCGUGGGGAGCAAACAGG
RNAcentral lists this ribosomal RNA (253 nucleotides) under uncultured bacterium. Its description in RNAcentral is "partial 16S ribosomal RNA". It matches the Rfam family "Bacterial small subunit ribosomal RNA", at positions 524 to 776 of the family's 1533-position model. The record is from RNAcentral.